Molecule: RNase P RNA, 415 nt
Filed under: Acidobacteriota bacterium
Lineage: Bacteria; Pseudomonadati; Acidobacteriota
Description: Acidobacteria bacterium (soil metagenome) RNase P RNA component class A
Rfam family: Bacterial RNase P class A
About the family: Ribonuclease P (RNase P) is a ubiquitous endoribonuclease, found in archaea, bacteria and eukarya as well as chloroplasts and mitochondria. Its best characterised activity is the generation of mature 5'-ends of tRNAs by cleaving the 5'-leader elements of precursor-tRNAs. Cellular RNase Ps are ribonucleoproteins.
Source: RNAcentral
GCAGGGGGCCAGACGAUCGUCCGGCGUCGCGCUUCGCGACGCGGGGAGGAAAGUCCGAACUCCGCAGGGCAGUGCGCCGGGUAACGCCCGGUCGGGGUAACUCGAAGGACAGUGGCACAGAAAACACACAGCUGACGCUCGUAGUGCAGCCCUUGGGUUGCCUGCAGGCAAGCAAUGGUGAAAAGGUGCGGUAAGAGCGCACCGCGCCGGUGGCAACAUCGGUGGCAGGCAAAACCCCGCACGGAGCAAGGCCAAAUAGGGAGACGCUAUCAGGACGGCCCGUCCGAAGUCUCCGGGUAGGCUGCUGGACCCCUUCAGUAAUGAUGGGGCUAGAGGAAUGAUCGUUGCCCUGAGCGAGGCUCCGCAAGGAGACGAGCGAAGGGGACAGAAUUCGGCUUAUCGGCCCGCUGCGGCG